AGAUUCUAUCUAUAAGUGGGAGAAGAGGUAUGUAUGUUUUGGAAGUUAACAUUUUCUUGAAUUGAAAAUGUAUUUCCAAUCAUACUUACCUCCCCUAACACUCUCCUGCCCUUCCUCUUUACUAAGAGUCAGUGUUAGAGACUGUGAAUUGAGUCAGUCUUGAAAAAGUGAUAACAUUAUGCGAAUGAAGUGCUUUUAUACAGCACCAGGAUAGAGGGCACAUUCAUGUAGAUGGAGAGUGUCAUGAGACAGAUAUCACCAAGGGCAAUUUAGUGGGGUAUAAAAGACUGGAGCAAGCGAGAAAAAAUCAGACCAAUGCUGGGCACAGAAAGAAACCCUGGCAGUCAAGUAAUAGCUGUAAGUGUCGGCAGAGGUAAGUAUUAUUGGAAACACAUUUUCAAUUUAGAAAAUUGUUAACUUCUGACUCAUAGCAUUAUUUAGAGUGGUCACUUGACAAUGUACAGUACAGACAGAAGUAUCUUAACGCUGACUUAUAGCAUUAUUAAAUAUAGGAAAGUUUAGAUGGUUAUAUGUGACAUCUACUGAGCUUUUACUUUUUUUAGGGAAUCAAACUCACUUCGUGAUUCUACCAGAUAAAAUCAUUAAACCAGACAGAUGGAUGUUGGAAGUCUCCAAGAGACACACAGAGGUAUUCAGGAACCAUUUAGAACCACCUUGGUAGAUACUGUAACAAGCCGAGUACAAUAUUAUGCCUGUAGCUGCUUUCAAAGUGUUCCUGUCUGCUCAUCCUACUGCAGACUAUCAUGAUGCUCUGAAUGGCAGGUAAAAUCGUUUGAAAGCUAAACAUACUAAGGUGAUAGCAGAAGCAUAAAAGGUUGACAGUUGCUUAAUUAAUGAUGAUGAGAAUGUGGCUUUAUUGAUAUUUACUGAAUUUACUCUCAGCGGGUAGUCUUUAGUACUAGCUAGUAUGGAGACUUGUGAAUGCUGUAUUUCACUUAAAAAUUUAUCAGGUAACAAAAGAAAACAUGUCUCGAAGUUGUCUCAAAUAUACAUCCAAAACCACCCUCCUUGGGAGUUUCCAGAUUGAACUUACUUUUAAUAUUCAACAAAUUCUAGUGUAAAGACACCUCUUGGAUCUUGAGGGGGGCGUUAAAAAUAAUUGUUUUAUAUUUUCAAAAAAAAGUGUUAAGAGCCCCAAACUCCAUUCAGUUUUGAAAAAUCUAGUAAAGUGUUUGAAGCCAAUAAUUGGAGCUUGUUUUGUUUGUAAAUAUUAACAAGAAUAUCAAACAUUAUUAUCUGAUAUUUCAGUAGUUAAUAAGGUAGUAAGUAUAAUGUUUUUUUGAUGUCAUUAUAUUUGUAUGAACUGAUAUUUUGUACAUACUUGUCAACACUUAAAGCACCAGAAAGGAGCAAAUAAUGUCUCAUUAGAUGGAAAGAAAUAAAAUUCUGAUGUGCACUUAGAAUUUGCUUAGGUAAUAGACCUCUAAAGAAUCUUUAGAGGCCAUAUGGAUGGCUUGUAGAAUAAUUUAGAAAAUAUCACUAUUUUUGUGGGAAGAGUAGUAUGUGUACAAGCAAGAGUGUUUACAAAUAUACUUGUUAUAAGACAUUAGUAUUAGGCCUAUCACAUUUUUAAACACUACAUUCUUGAUCUAGUCCCUUAGAGAUUUUCAAGAAUUAUAAGAGUGUAUAAUAAUAAUAAUAAUCCAAUCACGAUAUUUGUCACAAAAGGUAUAUACACUAUAACAGUUAAUAGUGUUGUUAUGUAAGUACUAAAAUAUAAUUAAGAUAAAUUAUUCUACAGUAUUACCUCUAGCUUAUUUUGGCAAUAAUAGGGAUCAUUAAGACCAGAUAAAAUUAGGAAAUUCAGCAUCUAUAUUAUCACAAUGGGAUUUUUUAAUAAAAGUGAAUGUGGUAGAAAAUAUCAUUGACUUGAGAAUACCCAUCUGAUGAUUCAGCACAUACUAAUUAUUAUAGAUUUUAAUUUUGUGGUAUAUUGUUUUAUACCAUUAAUUAUUUCUAGUCAGUUUGUUGUAUAGGGUUGCCUUCAUGAUUUACAAGUUACUUUUGAAACUAUUUAAAUUUACUUAUUUGUAUUUGGAAAUUCUCAACAGUUGAUCUCUGACUUAACCUGAGAAAAUUACAGUAGUUUCCUAAGUGGGCAGGAUCCCCACCAAAUCUGAAAAAGCAUAAAUGAAUUAUUUGCUGCAGCUAGAAAGGUUGGUGGCUGUUUGGGUGAAGAGUUACACAGUGUCAAAGUCCAUCAGUUUUAGGUGAUGACCAUCAGUCAAGCCAAGCAGAAAAAAACUUACAGGGGGAAGCUCACACUGUACUAUUGGGAGAGAACCAAUAUAGACAUUCUUUACUGGACAUCUUGAUAUUUUGUUGCCAUGAUCAUGGAUCCUGUUUUUGUUGAGGAAAGCCAUGUUGGGCUAUCUGCUGUGUCUCCCGGGAGGAAGCAAACCCUGGAUCUUAGCAUUGUAAGUCCUGAGACUGCUGUCCCAACGAGGGGACAACAUUUCUACUAAACAAAGCUUUGAUAAGUAGUCAAUUUUUAGUAAUGCUGUCAACAAAACGUUUAUGAAGGUGACAACCUAUUACAGUGAUUAGGUUACUUUUAGAUAACAAUAAAUAGAUUACGUUUUUAAGAAUGUUGGUAUGAGAUACAUACCAGAUAUUUCUUUUCCUCUUAGUUUAGAAAGGUGAUAAUAUCUUGUUCACCAAAAUCUUUUGCACUUACAGUAUGUUUGGUACGUGUAUAGUACAUAUAGUGUGCAUAUACCUAGCAUUUUUUUUUUUUUUUUUGCAAUGUGGUGACCUUAUUCUUGAGCUAGUUACUCGUCAUCAACGAUCGUUGCCACUUUGAUAUUUCUUAACUCUUUCCAAGGAAGAUAGCGUUAAAGAGUUCUUUAUACGUGUAAUAAUAUGUUCUCUAGUAAGAUUGGUAGUGUAAAGGUUUAGAAAUACAUGGCGGAUAUGUCCUCUCUAUAUUUACUUACGGAAGAGACGGGUGUGACAAAUACACCCUUGGAGAUUGCAUCUAUAAUAUGAAGUAUAUGCUGGUUGGGUACUUCCAGUCUUGUUUAUGUUUUUCCAUUUAAUAGACAAGUGCUGUCCAUCGUCUUGUAUACAUGCUCCGAGUUGUGUCUAAAUUGUGUUCAAUAAAUAAAGCAUUGCUUCCAUUUCACUAUCAA
Long non-coding RNA from Limulus polyphemus (Atlantic horseshoe crab), 3152 nucleotides. RefSeq lists it as uncharacterized. The transcript has 4 exons. Lineage: Eukaryota; Metazoa; Arthropoda; Merostomata; Xiphosura; Limulidae. The record is from RefSeq and is a predicted model, not a curated record.